This 406-nucleotide ribosomal RNA is filed under the name uncultured bacterium. RNAcentral's name for it is "bacterial SSU rRNA". It matches the Rfam family "Bacterial small subunit ribosomal RNA", at positions 369 to 774 of the family's 1533-position model. The record is from RNAcentral.
CAAUGGGAGAAAUCCUGAAGCAGCAACGCCGCGUGGAGGAUGAAGGGUCUAUGACUUGUAAACUCCUGUAAAGAAGGAAAAAAUUCCCAUUUGAUGGGAGAUGAUGGUACUUCUGGAGUAAGCCCCGGCUAACUACGUGCCAGCAGCCGCGGUAAUACGUAGGGGGCAAGCGUUGUCCGGAUUUACUGGGUGUAAAGGGUGCUCAGGCGGAUUUGUAAGUCAGAGGUGAAAUCUUACAGCUUAACUGUGAAACUGCCUUUGAUACUGCAAGCCUAGAGUAUGGAAGAGAGUGAUGGAAUAUCUGGUGUAGCAGUGAAAUGCGUAGAUAUCAGAUAGAACACCAAUGGCGAAGGCAGUCACUUGGUCCAUUACUGACGCUAAAGCACGAAAGCGUGGGUAGCAAACA